AACUGCAUAGCACCAUUGCUGCGGUUAAAAAGCUCGUAGUUGAAUCUAUGCCUGAGGCUUGGUCCACUCUUUGAGUCGGUACUAGGUUCUUUGGCUUUUCGUUGGUUUUCUUGUCGUGGCCUUUACUGGUGGCGGCAAGUGGCUGACAAUUUUACUUUGAACAAAUCAGAGUGCUCAAAACAGGCGUUUCGCUUGUAUGCUUUUGCAUGGAAUAAUAGAAUAUGACUUCGGUCUAGUUUUAUUGGUUUUAUAGAUCGUUGUAAUGAUUAAAAGAGACAAACGGGGGCAUUCGUAUUGUUGCGUGAGAGGUGAAAUUCUUGGACCGCAGCAAGACGAACUACAG
RNAcentral lists this ribosomal RNA (343 nucleotides) under Howardula sp. SP-MA. RNAcentral's name for it is "bacterial SSU rRNA". It matches the Rfam family "Eukaryotic small subunit ribosomal RNA", at positions 609 to 945 of the family's 1831-position model. The record is from RNAcentral. Lineage: Eukaryota; Metazoa; Nematoda; Chromadorea; Rhabditida; Allantonematidae.